RNAcentral lists this ribosomal RNA (1764 nucleotides) under Lysinibacillus fusiformis. Its description in RNAcentral is "bacterial SSU rRNA". It matches the Rfam family "Bacterial small subunit ribosomal RNA", at positions 234 to 1533 of the family's 1533-position model. The record is from RNAcentral. Lineage: Bacteria; Bacillati; Bacillota; Bacilli; Caryophanales; Bacillaceae.
CAGUAUUGGACCUCUAGAGUUUGAUCCUGGCUCAGGAAGUCUAACAAGGUAACCAGAUUGGAUCCCCUAAAGUUUGAUCCCGGCUCAGAAAGUCCGAACAAGGUAACCAGUAUUGGAUCCCCUAAAGUUUGAUCCCGGUUCCUUAAUGGUGAAAAAGGGAAACACGGUUUGGGCCCCCUUAAUUUGAUCCCGCCUCCAAAAAUCCUAAAAAAAAAACAGGUUUUUUUUCCCCUGGAAUUUUUUUCCCCCCCCCCUGAGAGGGUGAUCGGCCACACAAUUUUUACCCCUUGGCCCAGACUCCUACGGGAGGCAGCAGUAGGGAAUCUUCCACAAUGGGCGAAAGCCUGAUGGAGCAACGCCGCGUGAGUGAAGAAGGUUUUCGGAUCGUAAAACUCUGUUGUAAGGGAAGAACAAGUACAGUAGUAACUGGCUGUACCUUGACGGUACCUUAUUAGAAAGCCACGGCUAACUACGUGCCAGCAGCCGCGGUAAUACGUAGGUGGCAAGCGUUGUCCGGAAUUAUUGGGCGUAAAGCGCGCGCAGGCGGUCCUUUAAGUCUGAUGUGAAAGCCCACGGCUCAACCGUGGAGGGUCAUUGGAAACUGGGGGACUUGAGUGCAGAAGAGGAAAGUGGAAUUCCAAGUGUAGCGGUGAAAUGCGUAGAGAUUUGGAGGAACACCAGUGGCGAAAGCGACUUUCUGGUCUGUAACUGACGCUGAGGCGCAAAAGCGUGGGGAGCAAACAGGAUUAUAUACCCUGGUAGUCCACGCCGUAAACGAUGAGUGCUAAGUGUUAGGGGGUUUCCGCCCCCUUAGUGCUGCAGCUAACGCAUUAAGCACUCGCCCGGGGGAGUACGGUCGCAAGACUGAAACUCAAAGGAAUUGACGAGUCUGAUGUGAAAGCCCACGGCUCAACCGUGGAGGGUCAUUGGAAACUGGGGGACUUGAGUGCAGAAGAGGAAAGUGGAAUUCCAAGUGUAGCGGUGAAAUGCGUAGAGAUUUGGAGGAACACCAGUGGCGAAGGCGACUUUCUGGUCUGUAACUGACGCUGAGGCGCGAAAGCGUGGGGAGCAAACAGGAUUAGAUACCCUGGUAGUCCACGCCGUAAACGAUGAGUGCUAAGUGUUAGGGGGUUUCCGCCCCUUAGUGCUGCAGCUAACGCAUUAAGCACUCCGCCUGGGGAGUACGGUCGCAAGACUGAAACUCAAAGGAAUUGACGGGGGCCCGCACAAGCGGUGGAGCAUGUGGUUUAAUUUGAAGCAACGCGAAGAACCUUACCAGGUCUUGACAUCCCGUUGACCACUGUAGAGAUAUAGUUUCCCCUUCGGGGGCAACGGUGACAGGUGGUGCAUGGUUGUCGUCAGCUCGUGUCGUGAGAUGUUGGGUUAAGUCCCGCAACGAGCGCAACCCUUGAUCUUAGUUGCCAUCAUUUAGUUGGGCACUCUAAGGUGACUGCCGGUGACAAACCGGAGGAAGGUGGGGAUGACGUCAAAUCAUCAUGCCCCUUAUGAAAGGGGAAAAAAGGAAACCACAAUGGACGAUACAAAGUUUUGCCAACUCGCGAGAAAGAGGAAAAAAGGAAACCUCUUUGGGUUCCUUUGGGGUUUGCCCCGGGUCCAGAAAGUGGAACCAAGGUAACCAGUAUUGGAUCCUCUGGAUUUUGAUCCGGGCUCGGUAAGUGGUAACAAGGUAACCAGUAUUGGAUCCUUAGAGUUUGAUCCGGCUCAGGAAGUCGUAACAAGGUAACCAGUAUGGUCCUCUAGAGU